UAUGCUGAUUAUUCCUUUCUAAUUCGGUGUGAAAUAUACGUUUAGUUAUUAGAAUUAAUACUUAAUUAAAUGAUAAAUUAAGUGUAGAAAAUCGUUGAAAUUUAACAUUUUUUAAUUUCACGGUACAAAUUUCAACAUUAAUGCUAUUAUUAAUUAUUAUUAUUAAUUCCUUUAUAAGGUGAGGAGUUAAUGUUUCAGUAUUCAGUCUCCUGAAGGAUUUCAAGAUGAAAUUGUUUGUGUUUGUUCUGUCUGUAUUCGCCGUCAUGGCUGUAGUGCUUGGUCAGGGGCGUGUCCGUCGCAAGCUGGACAUCAGGGACCAUCCCGAGCGGUACCGCCCACAGGGUAACUUAUGCGGCCCCGAUGAGCCCUGUGCCAGAGGAUUUCUUCAAACAAAUUCAAUUCAAAUUGGUUGAAAGCUUCAGGUUUCUUUAUGAAAAUAAAUGAAGAACUUUUGUUAGUUAA
Molecule: long non-coding RNA, 462 nt
Organism: Plutella xylostella (diamondback moth)
Lineage: Eukaryota; Metazoa; Arthropoda; Insecta; Lepidoptera; Plutellidae
Source: RefSeq, a predicted model, not a curated record